UUAAUCCUAUGCUGCCUAGAAAAGCCCAGUAGCGAGUUGACAUGGUGCCCGUACCCCAAACCAACACAGGUGGACAGGUAGAGCAUACCAAGGCGAGUGGGAUAACUAUGGUUAAGGAACUCGGCAAAUUUCCUCCGUAACUUCGGGAUAAGGAGGACCCCAGUAGCGUGACGAGACUUGCUCUCCGAGCGUGAAGGGGUGGCACAAAAUUGAGGGAAGCGACUGUUUACCAAAAACACAGCAGCGUGCUAAGCCGUAAGGCGCUGUAUACGCUGUGACUCCUGCCCGGUGCUGGAAGGUUACGGGGAUGGGUUAGUCCUUCGGGACGAAGCUCUGAACCUAAGCCCCAGUAAACGGCGGCCGUAACUAUAACGGUCCUAAGGUAGCGAAAUUCCUUGUCGGGUAAGUUCCGACCUGCACGAAUGGAGUAACGACUUCCCUACUGUCUCAACCAUAGACCCAGCGAAAUUGAAGUACGAGUAAAGAUGCUCGUUAGCUGCAGAAGGACGGAAAGACCCCGUGGACCUUUACUAUAACUUGAUGUUGUGUUUUGUCAUAUGUUGUGUAGGAUAGGUGGGAGACAAGGAAGCAUGGACGCUAGUCUGUGUGGAGUCAUCGUUGAAAUACCACCCUGCAUAUGGUGAGGCUCUAACCUAGACCCGUUAUCCGGGUUGGGGACAGCGUCAGGCGGGUAGUUUAACUGGGGCGGUUGCCUCCUAAAGAGUAACGGAGGCGCCCAAAGGUUCCCUCAGCCUGGUUGGCAAUCAGGCGUCGAGUGCAAUGGCAAAAGGGAGCUUGACUGCGAGACCUACAAGUCGAGCAGGAGCGAAAGCUGGGCAUAGUGAUCCGGCGGUUGCGUGUGGAAGCGCCGUCGCUCAACGGAUAAAAGGUACCCCGGGGAUAACAGGCUAAUCUUGCCCAAGCGUCCAUAGCGACGGCAAGGUUUGGCACCUCGAUGUCGGCUCAUCGCAUCCUGGGGCUGAAGCAGGUCCCAAGGGUUGGGCUGUUCGCCCAUUAAAGCGGUACGCGAGCUGGGUUCAGAACGUCGUGAGACAGUUCGGUCCCUAUCCUCUGUAGCCGUAGGUGAAUUGAGGAAAGCUGUCCCUAGUACGAGAGGACCGGGACGGACGCAGCUCUCGUGUGCCAGUUGUCCUGCCAAGGGCAUGGCUGGUUAGCGACCUGCGGAAAGGAUAACCGCUGAAAGCAUCUAAGCGGGAAGCCUCUUCCAAGAUGAAUUCACCCACAGGGUUAACCUGGUAAGGCCCGUGGUAGACCACCACGUUGAUAGGCCGGAAGUGUAAGCGUGGCAACACGUUCAGCUGACCGGUACUAAUCGGCCGAGGGCUUGAAUG
RNAcentral lists this ribosomal RNA (1352 nucleotides) under metagenome. RNAcentral describes it as "bacterial LSU rRNA". It matches the Rfam family "Bacterial large subunit ribosomal RNA", at positions 1594 to 2925 of the family's 2925-position model. The record is from RNAcentral.